GACGAACGCUGGCGGCGUGCUUAACACAUGCAAGUCGAACGGAAAGGCCCUGCUUUUGUGGGGUGCUCGAGUGGCGAACGUGUGAGUAACACGUGAGUAACCUGCCCUUGACUUUGGGAUAACUUCAGUAAACUGGGGCUAAUACCGGAUAGGAGCUCCUGCUGCAUGGUGGGGGUUGGAAAGUUUCGGCGGUGGUGGAUGGACUCGCGGCUUAUCAGCUUGUUGGUGGGGUAGUGGCUUACCAAGGCAUUGACGGGUAGCCGGCCUGAGAGGGUGACCGGCCACAUUGGGACUGAGAUACGGCGCAGACUCCUAUGGGAGGCAGCAGUGGGGAAUAUUGCACAAUGGGCGGAAGCCUGAUGCAGCAACGCCGCGUGCGGGAUGACGGCCUUCGGGGUGUAAACCGCUUUCGCCUGUGACGAAGCGUGAGUGACGGUAAUGGGUAAAGAAGCACCGGCUAACUACGUG
RNAcentral lists this ribosomal RNA (468 nucleotides) under uncultured bacterium. RNAcentral describes it as "partial 16S ribosomal RNA". It matches the Rfam family "Bacterial small subunit ribosomal RNA", at positions 28 to 507 of the family's 1533-position model. The record is from RNAcentral.